Molecule: ribosomal RNA, 516 nt
Filed under: uncultured bacterium
Lineage: Bacteria
Description: partial 16S ribosomal RNA
Rfam family: Bacterial small subunit ribosomal RNA
Source: RNAcentral
GAUGAACGCUGGCGGCGUGCCUAAUACAUGCAAGUCGAACGCAUUGAGAGAAGUGCUUGCACUUUUCAAUUUGAGUGGCGAACGGGUGAGUAACACGUGGGCAACCUACCUGAUAGCGGGGGAUAACGAGUGGAAACAUUCGCUAAUACCGCAUAACAAUAGAGAAGGCAUCUUCUUUAUUUAAAAGGCGCUUUAAAGCGUCACUAUCAUAUGGCCCCGCGGUGCAUUAGUUAGUUGGUGGGGUGAAGGCCUACCAAGCCGAUGAUGCAUAGCCGAGUUGGGUGACUGAUCGGCCACAUUGGGACUGAGACACGGCCCAAACUCCUACGGGAGGCUGCAGUAGGGAAUCUUCCACAAUGGGCGAAAGUCUGAUGGAGCAACGCCGCGUGUGUGAUGAAGGCUUUCGGGUCGUAAAGCACUGUUGUAUGGGAAGAAAUGCUAGGCUAGGAAAUGAGCUUAGUUUGACGGUACUAUACCAGAAAGGGACGGCUAAAUACGUGCCAGCAGCCGCAGUAA